Molecule: unclassified non-coding RNA, 339 nt
Filed under: soil metagenome
Description: partial contains 5.8S ribosomal RNA, internal transcribed spacer 2, and large subunit ribosomal RNA
Rfam family: 5.8S ribosomal RNA (bases 1-120)
Source: RNAcentral
GAUGAAGAACGUAGCGAAAUGCGAUACGUAGUGUGAAUUGCAGAAUUCAGUGAAUCAUCGAAUCUUUGAACGCACAUUGCACCUCUCGGUAUUCCGGGAGGUAUGCCUGUUCGAGCUUCAUUUGUACCCUCAAGCUCUGCUUGGUGUUGGGUGUUUGUUCCGCCUCUGUGUGUGAACUCGCCUCAAAACAAUUGGCAGCCGGCGUACUUGUUUCGGAGCGCAGCACAUUUUGCGAUCCAGAUCAACGUACAGCGGCAUCCAAGAAGCCUUAUUUAACGCUCUUGACCUCGGAUCAGGUAGGGAUACCCGCUGAACUUAAGCAUAUCAAUAAGCGGAGGA